GUUGUGCCUCUCCCUCUGACCCAUUCAUCAAACACUUGGCCAGGCAGCUCUCACUCUAUAACCAAUUCUGCCCACCUCGCCUCUGCACUUCCAGUUCCCUGUCACAUCCCAAGGGUGCUCCCUGCGGCCUAGAAACUCAGAGACACUCUCCUGUCCUUAGGUGUUCUGGCGGCAGGCCCACCUUCAUUCGGCAGUCAGGUUUGGUGCUUCAGAACCUGCAAACCCUAUGUCUGGAUCUACAGAUAGCAGCAUGGCAAAGGUGGGCAGCCCAGAAGUUGAAUGCUGAAGAUCUGGGGUUUCCUAAGCCAGAUUCCUCUUCUCCACUCACCCCCUGGACCUCGGCAGGAAGCAUGGUUUACUUGCUGGCCUCAUUCAUACAGCCUGACUCAGUGUACACGUACUGUAUUGGCAAAUACCUCCAUCAGUAGAAAAGACACACAGGGUGCUCUGGGAUUGUGGAUGGGAAGUGUUGGGCCUCAGGGCAGGGAAUUGGUCCAUGGGACAAGGAGCAGGCCAUUUCCCAAAGCAAGUUGC
RNAcentral lists this long non-coding RNA (534 nucleotides) under Rattus norvegicus (Norway rat). RNAcentral describes it as "long non-coding RNA NONRATT021394". The record is from RNAcentral. Lineage: Eukaryota; Metazoa; Chordata; Mammalia; Rodentia; Muridae.